GGAAGGAUCAUUAACACUCAAGUGUUUACCAUCACCCCCCUUUUUGUUGUUUCUGAGUUCCGUCAACCAAUGUCCGGGCCUUCGCGGGCCUGUCUUGACCAAACCCCUCAUUUUUUCGCACCCCUCUUUCUUCGGAAAGCACAGCAUGGCAAUGGUCAGAACGAGGAGCAAAUCCUUCUUCUCCCUGAGCCCGGCUCAAUUCAACCCUUCAACUUUUUUUUUAGACGUGUCACAGCGUAUAAAAGAAAAAUUAAUUCCUUAACAACUUUUGGCAGUGGAUAUCUUGGCUCUUGCAUCGAUGAAGAACGCAGCAAAAUGCGAUAACUAAUGUGAAUCGCAGAAUCCUGUGAAUCAUCAAAACUUUGAACGCACCUUGCAGUCAAGGCUCUUCGGGGCUUUGACUAUGUCUGUUUGAGAAUUGGUACUAUCUCUCAACUCUCUGUGAGUUGGAAGCUGAAGGUGAGACCGGAUCUAUCCCUCUCUCCUUUUAAUAGUUCCAAGCGAAUUCCCAAUUUUGCUCUUCCUCUCUCUUGCAUCCCAAACGCAGUAGAGGUCCCGCAAUGCCUAUAUUACAAUAUAAGCAUUUGUGGAUACCAUGACUGACACUGCGGCUCGAGUGCUCGGAACGCGAAUGUUGUGAAGUAAUGCUCUCAAUGUUGCAGGCUUUUCUUGUUUAACAAGAAAAAACCACACCAUUAAUCUCAAAUCAGACAAGAGUACCCGCUGAACUUAAGCAUAUUACUAAGCGGAGGAAAAGAAACUAACUAGGAUUCCCUCAGUAGCAGCGAGUGAACAGGGAAUAGCUCAAAGUUAAAAUCGGUGAGGGUUUACCCGAGCCGAGUUGUACUUUGGAGAGGUGGUUCUGGAUGGCGCCGGGUAUAAGUUUGUCUCAGAAUGCGGCAUCAAAGAGGGUGAAAAUCCCGUAUUUGACCCGGAAAGUCCAGCCAGCACGGAUCACCAUCGAAGAGUCAGGCUGUUUGGGAUUGCAGCCCUAAGUGGGUGGUAAGGUUCAUCUAAAGCUAAAUAUUUGCAAGAGACCGAUAGCGAACAAGUACCGCGAGGGAAAGAUGAAAAGAACUUUGAAAAGAGAGUGAUAAUAGUCCUUGAAACUGCCAAAGGGACAAGCGUUAGGAACUGUUGUUGCGACCUGGAUCUGUCUUUCAAAGUGCACUGCCCGGGAACAGAGAGCCCUCAAAGGCCUCUGCCUUGGGAUUUGAUGUACUUUGGAGGGCGUCUGAUCCAGGCUGCCGGUCAACCACACUUUUGUGUUUUGCUUCCUCUGAAGGCGGACUCAGUUUUGACCCGCUGGAAAGGAAUGGCCUUGAGUGCGAUCCGCUGUCCCCUCCGGGGCCGGACUGGUGGAUACGAACAGUGUUUGGCAAGGUGGGACUCGUGGUAGAUUCUGCUUGCAGGAUCUACUCGAGCCAUACCUGUCUUGCUGGGUGCUGCUCGCCCGCUGGAGGUUGACUACCUCAUGGUUUCUAACGUCCCGUCUUGAAACACGGACCAAGGAGUCUAGCAUAUAUGCGAGUAUUCGGGUGGUAAACCCAUGAAUGCGCAAUGAAAGUGAAGGGGCUCUUACGAGCUCUGAGGUAGGAAUCUUGCUCCUCGUGGGCGAGAGGCACUAUCGACCGAUCUGGAUGUUUUUUGAAGGAUUCGAGUUAGAGCAUAUCUGCUAGGACCCGAAAGACGGUGAACUAUGCCUGUAUAGGGUAAAGCCAGAGGAAACUCUGGUGGAAGCUCGUAGCGAUACUGACGUGCAAAUCGUUCGUCAAAUAUGGGUAUAGGGGCGAAAGACUAAUCGAACCGUCUAGUAGCUGGUUCCCUC
RNAcentral lists this unclassified non-coding RNA (1828 nucleotides) under uncultured fungus. Its description in RNAcentral is "sequence contains 18S rRNA gene, ITS1, 5.8S rRNA gene, ITS2, 28S rRNA gene". The stretch from base 697 to 1828 matches the Rfam family "Eukaryotic large subunit ribosomal RNA", at positions 1 to 961 of the family's 3401-position model. Lineage: Eukaryota; Fungi. The record is from RNAcentral.